This 461-nucleotide ribosomal RNA is filed under the name uncultured bacterium. Its description in RNAcentral is "partial 16S ribosomal RNA". It matches the Rfam family "Bacterial small subunit ribosomal RNA", at positions 30 to 505 of the family's 1533-position model. The record is from RNAcentral.
CGAACGCUGGCGGCGUGCUUAACACAUGCAAGUCGAACGGAAAGGCCCCUUUGGGGGUACUCGAGUGGCGAACGGGUGAGUAACACGUGAGUAACCUGCCCUUGACUUCGGGAUAACUUCAGGAAACUGGGGCUAAUACCGGAUAGGAAUCCUUGCUGCAUGGUGGGGGUUGGAAAGCUUCGGCGGUUUUGGAUGGACUCACGGCUUAUCAGCUUGUUGGUGGGGUAGUGGCUUACCAAGGCUUUGACGGGUAGCCGGCCUGAGAGGGCGACCGGCCACAUUGGGACUGAGAUACGGCCCAGACUCCUACGGGAGGCAGCAGUGGGGAAUAUUGCACAAUGGGCGGAAGCCUGAUGCAGCAACGCCGCGUGCGGGAUGACGGCCUUCGGGUUGUAAACCGCUUUCAGCAGGGGCGAAGCUUGUGGUGACGGUACCUGCAGAAGAAGCACCGGCUAACUACG